CAGGUGGUGCAUGGUUGUCGUCAGCUCGUGUCGUGUAGGAUGUUCGGUUAAGUCCGCUAACGAGCGCAACCCUCGUUUGUGUGUUACAAGUGUCACACGGUACUGCCGGUCUUAAGCCGGAGGAAGUGGGAUGACGUCAAGUCAGCAUGGCCUUUAUGUCCUGGGCUACACACACGCUACAAUGGCCAACACAAUAGGUUGCUAAGCCGCGAGGUGGAGCCAAUCCUCAAAGUUGGUCUCAGUUCAGAUUGCAGGCUGCAACCCGCCUGCAUGAAGAUGGAGUUGCUAGUAACCGCAGGUCAGCUAUACUGCGGUGAAUACGUUCCCGGGGCUU
This 334-nucleotide ribosomal RNA is filed under the name uncultured Leptolinea sp. Its description in RNAcentral is "bacterial SSU rRNA". It matches the Rfam family "Bacterial small subunit ribosomal RNA", at positions 1035 to 1382 of the family's 1533-position model. The record is from RNAcentral. Lineage: Bacteria; Bacillati; Chloroflexota; Anaerolineae; Anaerolineales; Anaerolineaceae.